This 23-nucleotide ribosomal RNA is filed under the name Fritillaria tortifolia. RNAcentral's name for it is "partial 28S ribosomal RNA". The record is from RNAcentral. Lineage: Eukaryota; Viridiplantae; Streptophyta; Magnoliopsida; Liliales; Liliaceae.
AGGAGGGCGUGCCGCCUCGCAAU